RNAcentral lists this ribosomal RNA (253 nucleotides) under uncultured bacterium. RNAcentral's name for it is "partial 16S ribosomal RNA". It matches the Rfam family "Bacterial small subunit ribosomal RNA", at positions 524 to 776 of the family's 1533-position model. The record is from RNAcentral.
UACGUAGGGUGCAAGCGUUGUCCGGAAUUAUUGGGCGUAAAGAGCUCGUAGGCGGUCUGUCGCGUCUGCUGUGAAAACUCAGGGCUUAACCCUGAGCUUGCAGUGGGUACGGGCAGACUAGAGUGCGGUAGGGGAGACUGGAAUUCCUGGUGUAGCGGUGAAAUGCGCAGAUAUCAAGAGGAACACCUGAGGUGAAGACGGGUUGCUGGGCUGACACUGACGCUGAUGCGCGAAAGCUAGGGGAGCAAACGGG